RNAcentral lists this non-coding RNA (24 nucleotides) under Arabidopsis thaliana (thale cress). The record is from RNAcentral. Lineage: Eukaryota; Viridiplantae; Streptophyta; Magnoliopsida; Brassicales; Brassicaceae.
UGGAUAACAAAGAGGGAUUUCAGU